Long non-coding RNA from Spinacia oleracea (spinach), 1247 nucleotides. RefSeq lists it as uncharacterized. The transcript has 5 exons. The record is from RefSeq and is a predicted model, not a curated record. NCBI's taxonomy places the organism in Eukaryota, Viridiplantae, Streptophyta, Magnoliopsida, Caryophyllales, Amaranthaceae.
ACUUUCUCUUUCAACCUAGCCCUCAUAUGCGGAUCUGCCCCUUCUCCUCUCUCCUCCAUCCUCCGCCGUCCGCCCCUUUCUCCACUAGGACCACCAUAUCUUUUCUUCUCAUCACUCUCCAUCAGAACUUUAGUUUCUCAAUCGCGAAAUCUCUUUAUGUAUCUCUCAUGCGAAACAUCUGGUCAUCUGAUCGAUUUCUUUGGGUAAUUUGUUCUUGUUCAUCUAUUAUAAUCAUCUGAUUGUAUUUGAUUUAAUUUUUCGCAGAUUUGUUGAUUUAUUAAAUGUUUAAUUUUUUUUCAAUUGUUAAUAUGUUUACCGUUCUUCUUUUAUUAUUUUAUUGGAUUUUCGUUUUUUGUUGAUACUUUUCCCAAUACUACGCACUAACACCAUCAAUUAUUUGCUUAAAUGGGUACUACGGAGGAUUUAACGGAGAGUUGUCGAUGGCCGAACAGGGUGGCCAUUAUUGCUCCCAAAAAACCGGUAGAUUGUUUAAAUAUUGUUGGUGCCAGGCACUUGUUGAAUGUGGCUAAAGUUCACUUUUGCUGACACACAUUACUGGGACAAUAUUAAGUUCAAGAGGCUAGACGCGUCAAAAUUCUCCAUGUGCCUAACAAGAGUUUCUGCAUGAGGAUGUUUGUUUUGCAGCUGGAAGGGUUGUUGCAGUCAGUCAAAGGUGGUAUGCUUCCAGUGAUUGACUGUUGCGCAGCUGUUCUGCUCUGUUUGGCUGUUGUUGGCAGUGUUUCGGGUGUGGUGUUGCUGCAUGGGGGUAGUGGUUGUCACUGCUUGUUUGUUGUCAACCAUUAAGUAUAUUGGGAAUUGUACAUCAGUCCAUAUGUUAGGUUAACCAGCACUAGGACGAAGAUCAAUGGCGAGUCUUCUUUCAUGGAGAUCUCAACCAACAGCCAUAAAGACGAGAGAUUAUCGCCUUUUAACUCGACUUAUGCAGUGAGGUUUAAAGAGGAUAUAAAGAGGUGGGCGAGAGGCGGUGUGAGAUAUGCAACCAUUGUAGUAGCUCUUGUGAUCUACAUAAGGGUGGUGGUUUUGGGGAAUUUUUGUCUAAUUGAUUUUUUUUCCGCUCAACUCCUUUUCUCGGGGUUUUCUCCCCUAAUCGCUCUGCUUGUUUGCUUAUUUUGUUCUGAUAUUUGAUUUUAAUAUCUUGGGGGACCGCGCGCGCUAGCGCGUGGUCCAACAACUAGUUUACUAAAAAGUAAAGAAAUUCAUAUAAUUUUAUCAAUUAAGACUUGAUG